Molecule: long non-coding RNA, 837 nt
Organism: Callithrix jacchus (white-tufted-ear marmoset)
Lineage: Eukaryota; Metazoa; Chordata; Mammalia; Primates; Cebidae
Source: Ensembl
GUCCUCAUACAGUGUGUUGUUCCUUCCCUUCCCUGGAAAUGAGUCCUAAAAAAAAUGGAUGGCACUUCAGAGAGAGAAAAACUAACUGCAUGGGUUGAAUUUAUUAAAUAUUUGACUCUGAAGCCACAGCCCUGGAUUUGAAUUUUGCACGACCUGGAGUUUUAUGUACCCAACAAGGAAGCAGGAUUUAUGAGAAAUGUAUUUGCAUGGAGGUCAUUUUUACAACUAUCAACUUCACUUCGAAGAGCUCUCCAUGAAAAGUAUAAUAAGGAAGUAAAAAGUAUACUGGAGUAGAUGCAAUUCAUCCAUUCAGCAAAAAAAAAAAGAAAAAAUGGUCAACUGCCUUCUAAAUGCCAGGCAUACUUUGAAGGCUAAGUUAACAGCAGUAAGCAAAAGAGACAAAAAUUCUUCCAAGGGUGAUCACAUUCUCAUGGGAGGCGUACAGUGUUGAGAGGACGCAAUCAUGGUAACAGCAGCUUAAAUGAAGUGGAAGUUUCUUUCUUUCUUACAUUUCAAGAAGAGUGAAAGCCAUCAAUUUGGGACUGAUAUGGUGCCAUAUGUUGUAAAAGACUCGCUCCUUUUCCACCCGGGCAUCCCUUGGUUCACAGAAUCCUUCACAUCAGCAGCAACAAGGAGAAAGAAGAAUAGAAGAAGAAAGAACAAGAUCAUGAGCCAGGUGGAGGCUGCCAAACCUCAACUCUUGCAGUAUGUGCACUCUCAGACUUACCACCACAUUGAAGCCACCAAGUCUUACAGCUUACACCUCUGGAGUUAUGGAUCAAGCUGUAACUGGCCCUCUCUGAGCUGAGGCUGGAGCUGGAGCAACCAGGAUGUGGG